RNAcentral lists this ribosomal RNA (434 nucleotides) under uncultured bacterium. RNAcentral's name for it is "partial 16S ribosomal RNA". It matches the Rfam family "Bacterial small subunit ribosomal RNA", at positions 29 to 507 of the family's 1533-position model. The record is from RNAcentral.
AGCGAACGCUGGCGGCAGGCCUAACACAUGCAAGUCGAACGAACCUUUCGGGGUUAGUGGCGGACGGGUGAGUAACACGUGGGAACGUGCCUUUAGGUUCGGAAUAACUCAGGGAAACUUGUGCUAAUACCGAAUGUGCCCUUCGGGGGAAAGAUUAAUCGCCUUUAGAGCGGCCCGCGUCUGAUUAGCUAGUUGGUUGAGGUAAUGGCUCACCAAGGCGACGAUCAGUAGCUGGUCUGAGAGGAUGAUCAGCCACAUUGGGACUGAGGCACGGCCCAAACUCCUACGGGAGGCAGCAGUGGGGAAUCUUGCGCAAUGGGCGAAAGCCUGACGCAGCCAUGCCGCGUGAAUGAUGAAGGUCUUAGGAUUGUAAAAUUCUUUCACCGGGGACGAUAAUGACGGUACCCGGAGAUGAAGCCCCGGCUAACUUCGUG